ACUGCAUUUCACUUUCAGAUCUGACAGGAAGCUUUACAUUUUAAAUAUACAGAACCUUUGUGCAUUAUUGUUCUACUUAAAAGUAAGCUUUAAGCACUGAAUUUUGUGUACACGUGAAUGUAAAAGUGAAUUGCAGUUUCUAUUUCUACUGUGCAGUGGAUUAGUUGGCAAAUUGACAGCAGCUCUGACUGGCACACACCGACAGGCAGUAACUUCUGCUGCUGCAAUCUCUCUAAUUUAGCCUAAGGCGUUGACAGAAAUAAAAGCGAAACUACAGACUGGCAUAUCAGUCAACAUGUUGCUUCUUUGUUCAACUUAUCCAGACGUUUACCGCAUGGAUGGAUUUUUUCUUUUUACCUCCUUAAGGAAUAAUAUGAUGGCGUCAUAAAUCAAGGGUAACAAUCUGCAAAGCAUCAAAAGUAAUCCUGGCAUCCUCCACCCCUCCGUCUGCGGCAGAAGAAGGAAGAAGAAAACGUGAAGGCAGCCUGUCUGUAAAGGAACUAUAUCUGAAACUAAGAAGGAGACAGACUGUGGGAAUUGAACAAAUAUACAUUCAGCAAUAAAAUAUGGACAUAAAGUAAAAAGAGGUCUUCUAUAAAGUGUUUCACAUCCGUUUUUUAAUGGUUUUUCUAGUUUGUCUAGUCUAGACUUUACCAACUUCAGGACAUGAGCUUAUAAACCAUAAACCAUAAUAAACGUGUAUCUGUGUGAUUUAUCUUCUUAAUAUUUACAAGAGGACUUAAUAUAAAAUUAUUGCAAUCUUUUUUCACUUUAAUACAUGUUCACGUAGUCAUUGUUGACUUUUUUAAUAGGGUUGAUGACAGGAAAAACAGGAAAUAGUGUAAGACAUCAUAAACUGAACAAAAGGGGUUAUUCAUGUGCAGUUGUCAGGUCAAGAGUUUAACGUACAGUAGCACGGCAUUACCCUGACCACAAUUAAUGAUUAAUUUAUUAUUUAGUCAGUUAGUUAGCUGCUCAGCAGAUGCAUUUUAAAGUUUUUUUACUAUAUGUCCUGUCAAGAACAAAUGUCAAAGCAUAGAGUCUAACUACGUACCGUGUACAGAAUGAAAUGCUGUUUUAUGUUAAUACAGACACACUAGAUCACAAAGGUCACAAUUUAUCAUUUCAAUAAAGUGAAAAUCAUCUGUAUGUUAUAAUAAAACAAUACAAUUCUGUACUAAAGUUA
Thunnus maccoyii (southern bluefin tuna) is the source of this 1186-nucleotide long non-coding RNA. RefSeq lists it as uncharacterized. The transcript has 2 exons. The record is from RefSeq and is a predicted model, not a curated record. Lineage: Eukaryota; Metazoa; Chordata; Actinopteri; Scombriformes; Scombridae.